UGGGGAAUCUUGGACAAUGGGGGCAACCCUGAUCCAGCCAUGCCGCGUGAGUGAUGAAGGCCUUAGGGUCGUAAAGCUCUUUCGCCUGUGAAGAUAAUGACGGUAGCAGGUAAAGAAACCCCGGCUAACUCCGUGCCAGCAGCCGCGGUAAUACGGAGGGGGUUAGCGUUGUUCGGAAUUACUGGGCGUAAAGCGCACGUAGGCGGACCAGAAAGUUGGGGGUGAAAUCCCGGGGGCUCAACCCCGGAACUGCCUCCAAAACUAUUGGUCUAGAGUUCGAGAGAGGUGAGUGGAAUUCCAAGUGUAGAGGUGAAAUUCGUAGAUAUUUGGAGGAACACCAGUGGCGAAGGCGGCUCACUGGCUCGAUACUGACGCUGAGGUGCGAAAGUGUGGGGAGCAAACAGGAUUAGAUACCCUGGGUAGUCCACACCGUAAAACGAUGAAUGCCAGUCGUCGGAUAGCAUGCUAUUCGGUGACACA
This 480-nucleotide ribosomal RNA is filed under the name uncultured bacterium. RNAcentral describes it as "bacterial SSU rRNA". It matches the Rfam family "Bacterial small subunit ribosomal RNA", at positions 355 to 850 of the family's 1533-position model. The record is from RNAcentral.